GUGCUGCCUGGCGCUGGCUAGGAGGCAAACGCACGCGGGAAGAGCUGCUACCCAUUCCAGGGACCCUGCCGCUGCCCCUCUGAGGGGUCUGCACCUCCUGGGAGCAGGUGGGUCUCUGGGACGAGGGUCCAUGGUGGAUGGCUCUGGAGACGCUCCCGAGGCUGUGCCGUCCCGCUGCUGCACAGGUCGGAGGGUCACCGCAGAGGCUACUCGGGCUGGGGCUGGGGCCGAGGGAGCCCGCACUGGAGUCACUUAAUAUUACAGGGUCUCGCUCUGUUGCCCAGUGGCCUGACCAUGGCUCACUGCAGCCUCCAACUACUGGCCUCAAGUGAUCCUCUUGCCUUGGCCUCCUGAAGUCCUGGAAUUACAGGCGUGAGCCACUGCACCGGGCCCAUUUAAUACUCUGAGCCCCACCUUUCCCAUCUGUGGAUGGAGGUAAUGAUAAUAGCAUCUUUGGGGUGUGGCUGUGAAGAUAGAUAGAUGAGCAUGCAAAGCUCCAAGUGCCUGCUGAAUUGUAAGUGAAAUAAGAACGUGUGCCGCUGAAGGCUGUCCCUGGAGGCAGGGACACUCUGGCCAGGCCUC
This 582-nucleotide long non-coding RNA is filed under the name Homo sapiens (human). Its description in RNAcentral is "non-protein coding lnc-MYCBPAP-2:4". Lineage: Eukaryota; Metazoa; Chordata; Mammalia; Primates; Hominidae. The record is from RNAcentral.